AUGGAAAAAAUGGUUGAAGAUGUUGUCCUUCAAGACAAAAUCAAUGAUGAGCUUGUGGCAUAUCGAAAGGAACAUGGGACAUUUGGAAGAGAAAUUGCCAAAAGGCAGCGGAGAAACAAAAGCUUUGAUCCAGCUCAAUGGUGGUCCAGUCAUGGGUCAGAUUCACCAAAUCUCAGAGUAUUGGCGAUGCGGAUUUUGAGUUUGACAUGCAGCUCCUCCGCUUGUGAGAGGAAUUUUAGUGUUUUUCAGCAGAUUCACACAAAGAAACGCAACAGGCUGCUUCAUAAUAAAAUGAGAGACCUUGUUUUUAUCAAGUUCAACUCCAAACUCAAACAAAAGAGAAAGAUGACAAACAGGGACCUGAUUGUGGACCACACAUUUGUAGAUGUUGUAGAAAAUGAAGAUAAUGAGUGGAUCACAGGUAUUGUGCCUCAUGAACCUGAUGAAGUUGUAGAAGUUGCAGCAUCAACAUCACAAGGAGCAGUUGGUGCAUCAAAAGGAAAGAGAGCGUCCCAAUCUCGCCCUCGAAAGAAGAAAAAACUGCUCCCUGUUUUUCGUGAAGAUGAGUUGGAGUCAGCUAGUUCUUCUUCUGAAUCGGAAGAUGAUGCCAUGCAUUCACCAUCUGGUUCAUCAAAUGAGAGUGAUUCUGAAUAA
RNAcentral lists this ribosomal RNA (654 nucleotides) under Triticum aestivum (bread wheat). RNAcentral's name for it is "partial small subunit ribosomal RNA". Lineage: Eukaryota; Viridiplantae; Streptophyta; Magnoliopsida; Poales; Poaceae. The record is from RNAcentral.